Molecule: non-coding RNA, 261 nt
Organism: Vicia faba (fava bean)
Lineage: Eukaryota; Viridiplantae; Streptophyta; Magnoliopsida; Fabales; Fabaceae
Source: the annotation of a GenBank genome assembly
AUGAAGAUGAAGAAACUUAACACCGUGUUCAUCAUCUUUAUGAUUCUAACAUUUCUUGUGUCGCUUCCUUUUGUUCAAUGCUCUCGUAUCUAUCGAACAAACAUGGAAGGAGCUAGUCGACACAUAGCAACAAGCAUUAAGGAUGCAAUUGCAAGGUUUAAGAAAGUUGGUGUUUCUGUUGGCACAGUAGAAGACUCAGCAAGAAAAGUUCCAACAGGACCUGACCCUCUUCAUCACAACAACAACCCUUUAGAACCUUAA